GCCUGGGUGGCUCAGUCGGUUGAGCGUCUGACUUCGGCUCAGGUCAUGAUCUCACGGUCCGUGAGUUCGAGCCCCGCGACGGGCU
Non-coding RNA from Felis catus (domestic cat), 85 nucleotides. NCBI's taxonomy places the organism in Eukaryota, Metazoa, Chordata, Mammalia, Carnivora, Felidae. The record is from Rfam.